CAGCCGCCGCGGUAAAACGUAGGGUGCAAGCGUUAAUCGGAAUUACUGGGCGUAAAGCGUGCGCAGGCGGUUUGUUAAGACAGAUGUGAAAUCCCCGGGCUCAACCUGGGAACUGCAUUUGUGACUGGCAAGCUAGAGUGUGGCAGAGGGGGGUGGAAUUCCGCGUGUAGCAGUGAAAUGCGUAGAGAUGUGGAGGAAUACCGAUGGCGAAGGCAGCCCCCUGGGCCAAUACUGACGCUCAUGCACGAAAGCGUGGUGAGCAAACAGGAUUAGAUACCCCCGUAGUCCCUGUCUCUUAUAC
This 301-nucleotide ribosomal RNA is filed under the name uncultured bacterium. RNAcentral describes it as "partial 16S ribosomal RNA". It matches the Rfam family "Bacterial small subunit ribosomal RNA", at positions 509 to 807 of the family's 1533-position model. The record is from RNAcentral.